Ziziphus jujuba (common jujube) is the source of this 3037-nucleotide RNA transcript. It is a transcript of the gene named retrovirus-related Pol polyprotein from transposon RE1, with no coding region annotated. NCBI's taxonomy places the organism in Eukaryota, Viridiplantae, Streptophyta, Magnoliopsida, Rosales, Rhamnaceae. The transcript has 3 exons. The record is from RefSeq and is a predicted model, not a curated record.
GCAUAUAUACUUACCUUGUACAGCAUAUUAAAAAAUAUAUAUAAAGAGCCAUCUUCAAGAGAAUGGCACGGCAACUUUUUGAAACAAAAUUAUUAUUUUAUUUUUUUCUAUUAUUUUUGUCAUGGUAUCAGAGCCUUCGUUUUGUAAUUUUUGAGGCAAAAUUGAGUUCUGUUCCUUGGAUAUCAAAACAGAGUAUUUCGAUCUAGUUUUUGGUUCUGUUGAUCUAAGUGUUGUUGGUUGGGUUUUUCAAUUUUUUCUGCUGGUGAGCAUCGCAUCUUUGGGAUCAAAUAUUCAAGCUACCUUGUUGUGUUCUCCUUCUCGGGUACGUGGUGUUUUCUUUUCUUGAUUCAUUAUUUGUUUUGAUAAUGGCAGAAAAAUAUGAUAUUUUGCCUGUUAAAUUAAAUGGGAAAAAUUAUUUUUCUUGGGAAUUUCAAUUUCGAAUGUUUGUGAAAGGAAAGAAUUUGUGGGGACAUUUAGAUGGAUCUGUUUCUAAGCCUAAAGAUGAAUCUGAUAUUGGUAAAAUCACUCAAUGAAAUUCAAAUGAUGCUCAAGUAAUCAGUUGGAUUUUGGGAUCUGUAGAAUCUCAGAUUGUCCUUAGCUUAAGAUCUUUUCAUUUUGCUAAAGAUAUGUGGGAUUUUUUGAAGAAAAUUUAUCAUCAGGACAAUUCGGCUAGACGUUUUCAGCUUGAAUUAGAAUUGUCUGAGUACUGUCAAGGUAAUUUAUCCAUACAGGACUAUUAUUCUGGCUUUCUAAAUUUGUGGGCUGAAUAUAAAGAACUAGUUUAUGCGUCUGUACCUCCUGAGGGCUUACCAAUUUUGCAACAAGUUCAUGAAGUGUCUCAACGGGAUCAAUUUCUUAUGAAGCUGCGACGUGAAUAUGAACCAAUUCGUGUCAAUUUGAUGUCUCGAAUUCCUUCUCCAUCACUUGAAACAUGUUUUGCUGAACUUUUUCGUGAAGAGCAACGGUGUGUCACUCAAAGUGUGCUUGAAAAUAAGAAUCAUCAGAGAGCUAAUCCAAUGGAGAUUGCUUAUGCAACUCAAGCCAAGGUACGAGAUAUGAGCAAAGUGCAAUGUUAUAGCUGCAAAGAGUAUGGGCAUAUAGCUAAUUACUGUAAGAAAAACUUUUGCAACUAUUGUAAAAAGUCUGGUCACUUGAUUGCUGAAUGUCGUCGUAGACCUCAAAAUCGAACCUCCCAAGCUUUGCAUGUGUCUCACAGCUCUUCCACACCUGGAUUUGAUUCUGGAUCUAUAUCUAGCUCAGGAAUGACCAAUAUAACUCCUGAAGUUGUGCAACAACUCAUUUAUUCAGCUCUCUCAACUCUUGGCAUUUCAGGUACUGCUACUCAUUCUCAUGUUUGCUACAUUGACUCUGGUGCCUCUAAUCAUAUGGUUUCUUCUCCAAAAUCUCUUGUUAAUGUGAAACCAUCUCUUGGUAAUUUGGAAAUCCAAACAGCAAAUGGAGACAAACUUCCAGUUAAAGCAAUUGGUGAUAUUCCACAUUCUCUGCCAUUAAAUAAUGUGUUUCUUGUACCUCAUUUGACUUCCAACCUUUUAUCUGUGGGACAAUUAGUUGAUGAGAAUUGCAAGGUUUCUUUUUCACCAUCUGGUUGUAUUGUGCAGGAUCAGAGAACAGGGAAGGUGAUCGGGAUGGGACCUAAAUGUGGAAGACUAUUUCCUCUACGCUUAUCUGUCUAUCCUGAUAAUAAAUCUUUAUUUUCUUUGUUUAGUCCUGUUUCUUUAAGUCAGGUAUGGCAUAAACGUUUGGGCCAUCCUAAUUCUAGAACUUUAUUAACCUUGUUAAAGAGUGGUUUAUUUUUGAAUAAGAGUUCGAUUACUUCUUUGGAUUUAUCAUUUGCUUGUGAUAGUUGUAAACUUGGCAAAAGUAAGACUCUUCCUUUUCCUAUUCAUCAAAACAAUGGUACAAAAUGCUUUGAUUUAAUUCAUACUGAUGUUUGGGGUAAAUCCCCAUUUCCUUCUCAUUCUCAUCACAAAUAUUUUGUAUCAUUUAUUGAUGACUAUAGUCGUCAUACAUGGCUUUAUUUUUUGCAUUCUAAAUCAGAGGUGUUUGAAGUCUUUAAGAGUUUUUUGGCAUAUGUUAAAAAUCAAUUUUCCACUUCUAUCAAAAUCUUGCGUUCUGAUUUUGGUGGUGAAUAUAUGUCUGAUGCUUUUAAAGUUUUUCUUCAAAGUGAGGGUAUUCUUUUUCAAAAAUCUUGCCCCGAUACUCCUCAACAAAAUGGAGUAGCUGAGCGGAAAAAUCGUCAUCUUUUGGAUGUUACUAGAACUUUACUUCUUGAUGCAUCAGUUCCAUUGCAUUUUUGGGUUGAAGCUUUGUCUACAUCUGUUCAUUUGAUUAAUCGUUUGCCAUCUCCUGUUCUUGAUAAUGAAACCCCAUAUUUUCGUUUAUAUAGCAACAAUCCUGAUUACAAUCACUUGCGUGUGUUUGGAUGUCUUUGUUAUGCUCAUCUUCCUUCAUCUGAUAGAAAUAAAUUGACUGCUCAAUCUGCAAGAUGUGCAUUUCUUGGCUAUGCCUCUGAUCGAAAAGGUUAUCUUUGUUAUGAUCCUCUUGCUCGUCGUAUUCGUAUAUCUCGGAAUGUAGUAUUUGUUGAGAAUAUCUAUUUUUUUCAACAUGUGUCUGAUUCUUCUACUUCUUCAUCUUCUUAUCUUCCUAAUUUUGAUCAACUUGAGAAUGUAAGGUUUAAUACUGGGAUAGAUGAUCAGCACCGAGAAAAUAGUUAAGACACUGAAGGUUCUUCUCGCAAUCCUAUUCCUGCUUCUGAUCCUCCUAUUGAACAAGCUAUUGCAGGUUCGCAAUCAUGGCCACUUUUUCAGAUGGAUGUCAAAAAUGCAUUUUUACAUGGAGAUCUUCAAGAAGAGGUUUAUAUGCGACUUCCACCUGGGGUACUGAUCCUGGUGGAAUUAAGGAAUUACAAGCUUCUUUACAUUCUUCAUUUCACAUGAAAGAUCUUGGAAUUCUUACUUAUUUCCUUGGACUUGAAGUACAUCAUUCUGAUCGAGGUAUUUUUGUCAACCAGCACAAG